Molecule: ribosomal RNA, 587 nt
Filed under: uncultured bacterium
Lineage: Bacteria
Description: partial 16S ribosomal RNA
Rfam family: Bacterial small subunit ribosomal RNA
Source: RNAcentral
UGGGGAAUUUUGGACAAUGGGCGCAAGCCUGAUCCAGCCAUGCCGCGUGCGGGAAGAAGGCCUUCGGGUUGUAAACCGCUUUUGUCAGGGAAGAAAUCUUCUGAGUUAAUACCUCGGGAGGAUGACGGUACCUGAAGAAUAAGCACCGGCUAACUACGUGCCAGCAGCCGCGGUAAUACGUAGGGUGCAAGCGUUAAUCGGAAUUACUGGGCGUAAAGCGUGCGCAGGCGGUUUUGUAAGACAGGGGUUGAAAUCCCCGGGCUCAACCUGGGAACUGCCUUUGUGACUGCAAGGCUUGAGUGCGGCAGAGGGGGAUGGAAUUCCGCGUGUAGCAGUGAAAUGCGUAGAUAUGCGGAGGAACACCGAUGGCGAAGGCAAUCCCCUGGGCCUGCACUGACGCUCAUGCACGAAAGCGUGGGGAGCAAACAGGGUUAGAUACCCUGGUAGUCCACGCCCUAAACGAUGUCAACUGGUUGUUGGGAAGGUUCCUUCUCAGUAACGUAGCUAACGCGUGAAGUUGACCGCCUGGGGGAGUACGGCCGCAAGGUUGAAACUCAAAUGAAUUGACGGGGUCAUAGCUGUUUCCU